RNAcentral lists this transfer RNA (84 nucleotides) under Galdieria sulphuraria. Its description in RNAcentral is "tRNA-Leu". It matches the Rfam family "tRNA". Rfam says of the family: Transfer RNA (tRNA) molecules are approximately 80 nucleotides in length. Their secondary structure includes four short double-helical elements and three loops (D, anti-codon, and T loops). Lineage: Eukaryota; Rhodophyta; Bangiophyceae; Galdieriales; Galdieriaceae. The record is from RNAcentral.
AGGGUAGGUGGCGAAACUGGUAGACGCAUCACACUCAAAAUGUGACAACUUUUGUUAUAAGGGUUCAAAUCCCUUCCUACCUAA